AAGGUCUUGGCUUAAUUAAAGUACCUGGGUUGCAUUCAGGUGAUGUUGGAUAGAAUCCUGCAGAUCUUA
RNAcentral lists this transfer RNA (69 nucleotides) under Hynobius leechii (Gensan salamander). RNAcentral describes it as "tRNA-Ala". It matches the Rfam family "tRNA". From Rfam's summary of the family: Transfer RNA (tRNA) molecules are approximately 80 nucleotides in length. Their secondary structure includes four short double-helical elements and three loops (D, anti-codon, and T loops). The record is from RNAcentral. Lineage: Eukaryota; Metazoa; Chordata; Amphibia; Caudata; Hynobiidae.